RNAcentral lists this ribosomal RNA (135 nucleotides) under Paludibacteraceae bacterium. Its description in RNAcentral is "partial 23S ribosomal RNA". It matches the Rfam family "Bacterial large subunit ribosomal RNA", at positions 2778 to 2925 of the family's 2925-position model. The record is from RNAcentral. Lineage: Bacteria; Pseudomonadati; Bacteroidota; Bacteroidia; Bacteroidales; Paludibacteraceae.
CAUCUAAGCACGAAGCCGGCUUCAAGAUGAGACCUCCAUUGAGGGUCGUUGAAGACUACGACGUUGAUAGGAGGCAGGUGUAAAGACAGUGAUGUCAAAGCCGAGCCUUACUAAUUGCCCGAUAGCUUUUUUAAU